Molecule: ribosomal RNA, 253 nt
Filed under: uncultured bacterium
Lineage: Bacteria
Description: partial 16S ribosomal RNA
Rfam family: Bacterial small subunit ribosomal RNA
Source: RNAcentral
GACAGAGGGUGCAAACGUUGUUCGGAAUUACUGGGCGUAAAGCGCGUGUAGGCGGCAUGGCAAGUCGGGUGUGAAAGCCCUGGGCUCAACCUAGGAAGUGCACUCGAAACUGCCACGCUGGAGUCUUGGAGAGGAAGGCGGAAUUCUCGGUGUAGAGGUGAAAUUCGUAGAUAUCGGGAGGAACACCGAUGGCGAAGGCAAUCCCCUGGGCCUGCACUGACGCUCAUGCACGAAAGCGUGGGGAGCAAACAGG